This 164-nucleotide small nuclear RNA is filed under the name Rhipicephalus microplus (southern cattle tick). RNAcentral describes it as "U1 spliceosomal RNA". It matches the Rfam family "U1 spliceosomal RNA". Rfam says of the family: U1 is a small nuclear RNA (snRNA) component of the spliceosome (involved in pre-mRNA splicing). Its 5' end forms complementary base pairs with the 5' splice junction, thus defining the 5' donor site of an intron. Lineage: Eukaryota; Metazoa; Arthropoda; Arachnida; Ixodida; Ixodidae. The record is from Rfam by way of RNAcentral.
AUACUUACCUGGUGCCGGGGUUACCGUGAUCAACGAGGCGGUGCCUCCAGAGUGAGGCGCGGGCAUUGCACUGCGCCCGUGUUGACCUCUGCCACUACCCCAAACUGGUGCAGAUGGGGCAUGCAAUUUUUGGUAGUGGGGGACUGCGUUCGCGCUAUCCCCCU